GUGUAUGGCCAUACCACCCAGAACGCACCUGAUCUCAUCUGAUCUCAGGAGCUAAAGCAGAGUUGGGCCUGGCUAGUACUUGGAUGGGAAUAGCAUAUCUUAUUAACC
This 108-nucleotide ribosomal RNA is filed under the name Fukomys damarensis (Damara mole-rat). Lineage: Eukaryota; Metazoa; Chordata; Mammalia; Rodentia; Bathyergidae. The record is from RNAcentral.